AGCAGCCGCGGUAAUUCCAGCUCCAAUAGCGUAUAUUAAAGUUGUUGCAGUUAAAAAGCUCGUAGUUGAAUUUCGGGGUUCUACCGUUGGUCGGGCUAUUGUCUGUACUGGCGUGUAGAAUUUCUACCUUCUGGGGAACUAUCAUGUUAUUAAUUUAGCGUGGUAGGAAACCAGGACCUCUACCUUGAAAAAAUUAGAGUGUUCAAAGCAGGCUUAUGUCUGAAUACAUUAGCAUGGAAUAAUAAAAUAGGACGG
RNAcentral lists this ribosomal RNA (255 nucleotides) under uncultured Scutellospora. RNAcentral's name for it is "partial 18S ribosomal RNA". It matches the Rfam family "Eukaryotic small subunit ribosomal RNA", at positions 569 to 830 of the family's 1831-position model. The record is from RNAcentral. Lineage: Eukaryota; Fungi; Glomeromycota; Glomeromycetes; Diversisporales; Gigasporaceae.